CCUACUGAGAAGCAGCCAAGGAGAGAGC
RNAcentral lists this non-coding RNA (28 nucleotides) under Bombyx mori (domestic silkworm). Lineage: Eukaryota; Metazoa; Arthropoda; Insecta; Lepidoptera; Bombycidae. The record is from RNAcentral.